Oncorhynchus kisutch (coho salmon) is the source of this 3015-nucleotide long non-coding RNA. RefSeq lists it as uncharacterized. The record is from RefSeq and is a predicted model, not a curated record. The transcript is spliced from 2 exons. Lineage: Eukaryota; Metazoa; Chordata; Actinopteri; Salmoniformes; Salmonidae.
ACGCACGUACCGUUUGCACGAGGAACGGUUUGAGGAAACGGAUUUGUUGCUGGCCAGAACCGAACAAACCACUUACUAGCAAGUACAGAAUUUCUUUCUAAACCACUCCAAUAAAAGUGACCUGAGCCCUAGGACCAUGCUUCAGGACUACCUAGCAUGAUGACUUCUUGUUGUCCCCAGUCCACCUGGCCGUGCUCCAGUUUCAACUGUUCUGCCUGCGGCUAUGGAACCCUGACCUAUUCACUGUGAUUACUAUUAUUUGACCCUGCUGGUCAUUUCUGAACAUUUGAAAAUCUUGGCCAUGUUCUGUUAUAAUCUCCACCUGGCACAGCCAGAAGAGGACUGGCCACCCCUCAUAGCCUGGUUCCACUCUAGGUUUCUUCCUAGGUUUUGGCCUUUCUAGGGAGUUUUUCCUAGCCACUGUGCUUCUACACCUGCAUUGCUUGCUGUUUGGGGCUUUAGGCUGGGUUUCUGUACAGCACUUUGAGAUAUCAGCUGAUGUAAGAAGGGCUUUUAUAAAUACAUUUGAUUUAUCAAAGCUGUGAGGAAGUGAUGUAGUAAAUACACAGACGCCCCCCCCCCCCCCUCCCGCCAUAACAUUAUGCAUUGCGGGGUUAAGCAGUGUUCGUCAGGCUGGCGUGAAAGUCUCUGGCGGCAUUCCAUACUCUUAACAGACACAGCCCUCAGCCCUCAAAUUAAGUGGACACUUCUGAUGACGUCUGACGAGUAUAUACACUUGCAGGGCAACGAGGAAGGGAGGGAGGAAGGAAUUCAUUUUAAAUGGACAGCCCUUGCCCAGAAAUUCGUCACUCGUUCAUCCUGCGACGUUUGUGUUUUCAGCCACAGCUUGUGGGUGCUUUGUAACAGUAUAACUUUAGACCGUCCCCUCGCCCAUACCCGGGCGUGAACCAGGAACCCUCUGCACACACCAACAACAGUCACCCACGAAGCGUCGUUACCCAUCGCUACACAAAAGCCACGGCCCUUGCAGAGCAAGGGGAACCACUACUUCAAGGUCUCAGAGCAAGUUGCGUCACCGUCACUAUUUGGCGCGCACCGCUACUAAGCUAGCCGUUUCACAUCCGUUACACUUUAUAUGCGCUACAGUCAAUUAUGACUGCAUGUCUACUUAUAUUAACUAUAUAAUCAUUAAUAUACGCCUACUGUAUGAUAGCUAGAAAAGUUAUUAGCUAACUAACGUUAGCCUGCCUAGUUGGAACUUCUGAAGGAAUAUUUUUUUUAUUUCUACAAUUUCCAAAGGCUAACCAAACAAAAACACUAUUACUUUUACAAGACGUUUGUGCAUUAGUAGGACCACUUCUACCUUAUUUACAUUUGGUUUUACUUACACUUGUCUGUUGACUCCAUAUUGACGUUGACGUUUUACAUUUUUUGGCUGACUUUUCUUAGCGGAUAUACAAUAAUCUCGAAUUGAAUUAUGGGACGUUUCAGGCCCCGAAGUGAACAUAAUUGUACACUCGCAAACUCCCAUUAAAAAUGAGGGCUGAGGUGCUUAUGUUGCAAACUUCCUAUGCUUGGCUAAUCAUUUGGAUCGAAGACAAAUAUGGCCACCAGGAUCCCCCCCCCCCCCCCAAGGGCAUAAGGUGAGGGUAAGUGGACGAGGGUGUGUCUUGGAUGAGUUUGAAACGCAGCCACUGCCUACUGGUGAGGGUAAGUGGAAGAGGGAUUGCAUUGGCGAUAAUGCACCAUCACCAGUGUUGCCAACAAAUUUUCAGGGUAAGUUGCUAGAGGCAGGCUGAUUUGUUGCUAAAAGAUGUUGUGAUGUCAUUGCGUGAUAACGUAAAACUGCGUCAUUACGUAGAAUAUAUAAUAACGUUACUCAAAUUGACUGGCCAUCUCGGCAAAACAUAUGAUUUGACAUUUGUUCAGGUACAGAAUUGCACUCUUUUCUUUCCAAUUUGAUUGAGACAUGUUGAAUUAUGUUGUAAGUUCUGCUCAAGAUCAAACAUUCGUGACCAACUAUAUUCAUUGGGUUUGGCUUGUCCAACCCGUACUACUGCUGCUGCAGUCAGCCAACAAUGAUUUGCAAUUUGCUGAAAUUGCUGCUGGCCUGCUGCUGCCUGUGCACGAGCUGAGCACCUGCUGCUGACGUCACUCACAAUGUACGUUUGCAGCCAGGCACGUGUGUUGUGACUGAGUGACAGAAAAUAGUUUUCUGUAUAAUUUUGCGGGAAAAUGUGUGCAUUUUAGCGUUUGAGUCACUUUUCAAAAGUUGCUAAAAGUUCCAAAUACAUUUUUGAAAGUAGCUAAAUUUGUUGGUAGGUGCUGUUUGGGAAAAAAAGUUGAUAAAUCUAGCAACAAAAUUGCUAAGUACGCAUCACUGACCAUAACACGUUGGAUGCCAACCGCCGACAAGUAACCAAUAUAAAUAUAAAGAGGGGUUCCUGCAGAUGCAGGAAUGGUCCUCAAUUCCACCAUAAAGAUCUGGACUGUAAGCAUGAGCACUUAGCUGAGCAUGCUAUAACACAUUAACUUCGGCAUAUUAACUGUAGCUGUCUAUCACACAUUGCUCAACAGGAAGCAUCUCCCAAUUGAACUUACACAAACAUGCUGAUGUCUCCACUCACAGCACAUAGACAGGAACUGGCUCGACCACAACACCUUAAUCAGCAGUAUCGGCCAAAGCCUGACCUUGUGAAAACAGGAACACACAUACAUUAAGACACACAAACUCAUUGCACACAUAAGCUGCAUAAGAUAAAUGUAUCUAGGACACACACACACACCCUGGACUCAGGAAAACAACAAGGACAUUAAGCAACAGCUGAAGCAUGGGCUGCAGGAGCCAAUCAGCAGAGGCUACGCCUGGACCUGAUCCAACCAGAGAACCAGGACUUCAAGACUCAACCUACUUUCUGUGCUGUAUAAAACAUGUAAACAAACUGUAUUAGGGGCUCUCCCUCUUCUAGCUCACUCGGAGUUACUAGAAAGAGCCCGUGCACGCUGUGCCAAAUAUCUUCACUCUGAAUAAACUGUCGCUUGUCAUACAAUCUA